RNAcentral lists this long non-coding RNA (249 nucleotides) under Lathyrus oleraceus (garden pea). RNAcentral describes it as "Pisum sativum (pea) long non-coding RNA (PSAT_LNC026419)". The record is from RNAcentral. Lineage: Eukaryota; Viridiplantae; Streptophyta; Magnoliopsida; Fabales; Fabaceae.
AGACUACAUGUAGUCAGAGAAUUAUACCUCAAUGGUUAAGCAACCAAGCAAAGAAAAAUCAAGUUCAAAAGAACUCAAAGCAACUUAUGUACCUGAAAAAAAUCUAACCCAAUCAGUAUAUAAUUCAAAUAAACAGGCAGACAACAGUCAAUCACACAAUCAGACAGAUAAGCAAGCAAUGCAACAAUGUGCAAGGCACAAGCUAUUAAGCCACUUGGUCUCAAAGCCUACAAAACAAACUCAAGGUUA